Molecule: ribosomal RNA, 253 nt
Filed under: uncultured bacterium
Lineage: Bacteria
Description: partial 16S ribosomal RNA
Rfam family: Bacterial small subunit ribosomal RNA
Source: RNAcentral
UACAGAGGUCUCAAGCGUUGUUCGGAUUCAUUGGGCGUAAAGGGUGCGUAAGCGGGUCUUUAAGUCAGGGGUGAAAUCCUGGAGCUCAACUCCAGAACUGCCUUUGAUACUGAAGAUCUUGAGUUCGGGAGAGGUGAGUGGAACUGCGAGUGUAGAGGUGAAAUUCGUAGAUAUUCGCAAGAACACCAGUGGCGAAGGCGGCUCACUGGCCCGAUACUGACGCUGAGGCACGAAAGCGUGGGGAGCAAACAGG